Molecule: ribosomal RNA, 464 nt
Filed under: uncultured bacterium
Lineage: Bacteria
Description: partial 16S ribosomal RNA
Rfam family: Bacterial small subunit ribosomal RNA
Source: RNAcentral
GACGAACGCUGGCGGCGUGCUUAACACAUGCAAGUCGAACGGAAAGGCCCCUUCGGGGGUACUCGAGUGGCGAACAGGUGAGUAACACGUGAGUAACCUGCCCUUGACUUCGGGAUACCUUAGGAAACUGGGGCUAAUACCGGAUAGGAAUCCUUGCUGCAUGGUGGGGGUUGGAAAGCUUCGGCGGUUUUGGAUGGACUCGCGGCUUAUCAGCUUGUUGGUGGGGUAGUGGCUUACCAAGGCUUUGACGGGUAGCCGGCCUGAGAGGGCGACCGGCCACAUUGGGACUGAGAUACGGCCCAGACUCCUACGGGAGGCAGCAGUGGGGAAUAUUGCACAAUGGGCGGAAGCCUGAUGCAGCAACGCCGCGGGCGGGAUGACGGCCUUCGGGUUGUAAACCGCUUUCAGCAGGGGCGAAGCUUGUGGUGACGGUACCUGCAGAAGAAGCACCGGCUAACUACGUG